Molecule: long non-coding RNA, 2405 nt
Organism: Eriocheir sinensis (Chinese mitten crab)
Lineage: Eukaryota; Metazoa; Arthropoda; Malacostraca; Decapoda; Varunidae
Exons: 5
Source: RefSeq, a predicted model, not a curated record
AAAGGAAGGGAAGGGAAGGGAAGGGAAGGGAUAGCAAGUUGUAUCUGAAAGUCCCUGAAACUCUUGCAUAUAAAUUUGGGAUAAGGAGAAAAAGACCACGAAGGAUAGAGAGAGGAAGAAAAAGAGGAAGGAAGGAAGGGAAGAGGGAAACAUCGCGAAAGAUUGAGAGAGGGAGAGAGGAAGGAAGGAAGGAAGGAAGGAAGGAAGGAAGGGAGGGAAGGAAGGAAGGAAGGAAGGGAAGGGAAAAAAGAAAGAAAGGAAGGAAGGAAGGGAGGAAGGGAAUUAUAAGGAGACACGUUAUUGGCAAUGAAGAUUCAAUUUGUACAGUGCACAACCCGGGGCCUGAGCAGUGCCACAAAGGAUGACCCCAACCACUAAGAGGCCCCUCAAGACAACCUGACACACAUAUAUCACUUAAAACAUAUAAAAAUACACAGGGGGGCGCGUUGCUUCGCUCACCUUACAUGCCAGCCUCUGGGGUUCCUCAAGGCGAGUCUCCCCCUUCUUAUUUUGAAAACAUCCCGGCACUUUUGUUAUGGAGUAUUCCCCCUAUUAGUACGCACUUUUGCCAUGGAGUAUUCCCCCUAUUAGUACGCACUUUUGCUAUGGAGUAUCCCCUAUUAGUACGCACUUUUGCUAUGGAGUAUUCCCCCUAUUAGUACGCACUUUUGCAAUGAAGUAUUCCCCCUUUAGUACGCAAUUUUGCUAUGGAGUAUUCCCCCUAUUAGUACGCACUUUUGCUAUGGAGUAUUCCCUCUAUUAGUACGCACUUUUGCUAUGGAGUAUUUCCCCUAUUAGUACGCACUUUUGCUAUGGAUUAUUCCCCAUUAGUACGCACGUUUGCAAUGGAGUAUUCCCCCUAUUAGUACGCACUUUUGUUAUCGCCUUGCUUAUGUCAUGAUCUCCGUGGGCGUCCCCUUGGCCUGCUCCUAGAGAAGAUAUUAUUAUUAUUAUUAUUAUUAUUAUUAUUAUUAUUAUUAUUAUUAUUAUUAUUAUUUACAGAUGAAGGUGGUGAUGGUGGUGGUGGUGAUGGUAGUGGUCGGAGGAGAGGAAGGAAGAGGAGGAGGAGGAGGAGGAGGAGGAGAAGGAGGAGGGGGAGGAGGACCCCGCCCCCCUUCUUCCUCUCCUUCCUUCGCCUCCUCCUCCUCUUCCUCUUCCUUCCGGCCUCAUCGCUUGGAAGAGGAAAUAGAGAGAGAUCGUUCGCCGCUGUUGAGGUCGAGCAAGAUACUGCCUUUCUUUAAUAAUCCUCUUCAACACUUUACGUCAAAUGUGGCAGGACGACCUCUACUACCACAAGCCUCUACAGUGUCAGCAAAUCGUCCCCCACACUGCGCAGGCGACGGGAAAUACUGCGUCUUUGACCGUCACUACCCCAUGGCAAAGGUCAACGCAGUGGUGGACCAAUACUACAAUGAUGUUACGCUUCUCUACAAUGACCUUUACCGUGUAUCUGGCAACGCUGUCAUGCUAUACGACAAUAGGACAAGGAGCGCCCCAAGGUAACACACUUUCCUAUUAGUACGCACUUUUGUAAUGGAGUUUUCCCCUAUUGGCACGCAAUUUUGUUAUGGAGUUUUCCCCUAUUGGUACGCACUUUUGCUAUGGCGUGGUCCCCCUAUUAGUACGCACCUUUGUUAUGGAGUCCUCCCCCUAUUAGUACGCAGUUUUGCUAUGGAGUAUUCCCCCUAUUAGUACGCACUUUUGCUAUGGAGUAUUCAUCCCUAUUAGUACGCAGUUUUGCUAUGGAGUAUUCAUCCCUAUUAGUACGCAGUUUUGCUAAGGAGUGUUUCCCCUAUUAGGAAGAGAUUUUGCUAUGGAGUAUUCAUCCCUAUUAGUACGCACUUUUGCUUAUGAGUGUUUCCCCUAUUAGUACGCACUUUUGCUAUGGAGAAUUGAGAAAAUAAAAAAUAAAAUAAGAAAAAUAAUGAAAAAUCAACAUUGCCAAAAACUAAUCUAACCCUUCCUCCUCUUCCUCCUCCUCCUCCUCCUCUUCUUCUUCCACAGGUACAGCUAUCAACGCCUCAUCAGCCUGACGCCCCAUAUACCAAGCUUUAAACCUGUUGUGGACGUGUUUCAAAUUCCCUCGUCUUGUUCCUGUUUUGUGGAGGACUUUACGUAUUUUUAGAGGAGGAGGAGGAGAGGAACUGUAUAUGAGAGGGAAAUGAGAAGAUUGUAAUUAGAGAAAGAAGAGGAAGAGGAAGAAGAAGAGGAGGAGGAGGAGGUGGAGGAGGAGGAGGAGGAGGAAGGCCGUAGUUCAUAUAUAAAGAAUUGAUUUGAAAGGAAUUUAAAUGGAGAGAGAGAGAGAGAGAGAGAGAGAGAGAGAGAGAGAGAGAGAGAGAGAGAGAGAGAGAGAGAGAGAGAGAGAGAGAGAGAGAGAGAGAGAGAGAGAGAGAGAGAGAGAGAGA